This 6968-nucleotide long non-coding RNA is filed under the name Sus scrofa (pig). Its description in RNAcentral is "lncRNA (ENSSSCG00065067324.1)". Lineage: Eukaryota; Metazoa; Chordata; Mammalia; Artiodactyla; Suidae. The record is from RNAcentral.
GGGUCCACUCCCCUGUGGGUGCCCUGGGCUCUGACCCUAAUAAGCUCGCACCUCCCCUCCUUUGCCAUCUCUUCUCUUCCCCAUGCCCUGCCUUUGGAUGGAUUCUUUCCUCUGAAGUUAACAAGUUUCUUUGCUUUCUCUGCUUGGCUAAACCCUUCUCCAUCUAUAUUUUAAACUUAGGCAUCUUGUCCUCUGGGAAGCCUGUCCUGAACCUUGGAGGGGGACGAGAUGGCCCUUGUCUGUACCCUCUGACCCUUCUUGCGUCCCCUUGCAGCAUUGGUCAUGCCAUAUUGUACCUGUCUUUCGGUGUUCCUGCUGCCCGCAGGCCUGGAAGCUUCAGACAGACAGGAUCUUGCAUUUUGGCUACUCCUGCACAUGGCCCAGAGUCUGGUAACCAGGUCAGUAAAUGUUUACUGAAUAUGUAAAUGAAAGAAGCCUUAAUUUGAUAAGAUCUUCCUUAUGGUAGUUUGGGACGCCAUAAACCUAGAAGAGAUUACUAUCAGGUAUUUGCAGCUGGUAGAAAACUGUCCCCAAAGAAUUUAGAGAGGGCAGACCUAAAUCAGACAAUAAAGGUAUGAUGAUUUUUAAAAACUGGAAAGGGUGGGAGAUAAGAUGCAGAGGUGACUGAACCUGGGGAGGAUUUCUUCAACAGGUAACACACCCAAAUGAUUCAGCUUCGAGACCGAUGAGGUGUUAAAUUCUGCUUCUGGGGCCAAGCAGUUCAUUAAACUCAUACAAAUCAUGGGAGGAGAACUUGUCUGCAAGCAAUCCCUGAAUGAACCAAGAAUGUGGUAGAAGCUGACAAAAUUUUAUUAUUAUUGUUAUUAGCCAACAAUGACUAUUGUUAUUAGUUAUGUAUUGAGUACCCACUAAAUGGGCAUAUCAAAGGAUGCUUCUAAAUCAUUACCUCAUCUAUUAAACCCCAUAGCAUCUCUGUGAUGUAGGUAAUAUGAGCCCUACUGUGUGAACGAGGAGACUGAGGCUGAGGCUGAGGAAGAUUGAGCAGGAAGAGACAGCACCCACAGGGCAACUGCAAAGGCUGAUUAAAGGAGGGGCAGCCUCACUUAUUCUGCACUAUUGCUCCACGGGGGGCAGCUUGGUUCUAUUCUUCGGGCCCAUUUGAAGAUGCUCAUGGACCAACCAGAGCACAUUCCCAGCAGAGAGGCUGAUGAGGACUUAGAGGUGACCAUGAAUCAGUCCUUGUCUUCUCAGAUUCCUGAUUCAUCUGAGAAAUACAAAAAGAAGCCAGGUAGAUAUAAAUCUGAAUGUCGGCUUUUUUUUUUUUUUUUUCAGAAUGAACUUGAGUUGCGGUUAAACAGACAUGCGAAUCCUGCACCCCCACUCCAAGCACUGAGUAUAUCUUCCAGAACCAUAGCCUCUGCCUGGGGGAGGACUGAGCCUGCCCAGCAAGCUCACCGCAAGCUGGGAGAAGCCCAGACUCUGCAGGCACGUGGUUCUGCAGAACGAGCCCUGGAUGGACUCAGGCAGGCACACCCAGUGAUCUCUCCUAGAUUCAACAAUCAGGCCAGCAGCUGGUGUGACACUAAAUCUUCCCAGAGAAACAUAAACCCAGGAAAUGACAGCCUUGUCCCUAGCAUUGGCCUCAAUGCUCAUUGACAUAUCGAAGAAACUAAAGGGUGAAAGGAGGUGAUGGUUAAUUUUAUGCAUCACCUUGGCUGGAUGAUGGUGUCCAGUUAUUUGGUCAAACACUAGUCUAGAUGUUGCUUGAAGGUAGUUUUUAAAGGUGGUUAAAAUUUAACUCAAAAUAUUCCGAGUAAAGCAAAUUGCCCCCCAUGGUAUGGGUGGGUCUUAUCCAAUCAGUUGAAGGCCUUAAGCACAAGGACUGAGGUUUCCUGAAGAAGAAAUUCUCCUCAAGACGGCAACAUCGACUCUUACCUGAUUUUCCAACCUGCCUUACAGACUGCAGCCUUGCCAGUCCCACAACUGCAUGAAUCACUUCCUUCUCUCAAUCUCUCUUUCUAUUGUGUGUCUGUGUGUGUAUUCGCCUUCUGGUUCUGUUUCUCUGGAGAACCCUGCCGAUACAACCGACUAUGUUGAAUCUGUAGCAGAAGAGGUAGGGUGAUGGCCAUGAAAGCCAUGUUCGAGUUUCUAAUGGGUUCUCUAGGAUGAGGUCUUGGGCUUAUUUAAUGUGUCACAUCACUCUGACUAUCUUGAGAUGCUUGAGUAUCUGAGAUGCUUUAGAUAGUGCCUGAUGGGUCUUAUCAGUGGUGCUACAGAAAAGACGCUCAUGUUACAAGAAAGCUGAAUCAGAUGGCUGCCUGCUAGGGGUACUUCAAACUGUUUUGAGGACACUGACAUUAUCUAAUGCUUCUGUUAAAUAAUUAUAAUGUGAUCCCCCCCCCCUACAUUUUAACAUUUGUGACGUUCUUUCACGUCUAUUAAUUUACUGGUUUUCCCAUACCGCAUAGCACAUAACUAGGCAAUUAUGAAACUGAGUUGAGAAUGUAAUAAUGGCAAAUUAAGAACCAAAUUUCAACUUUAAAUUAACUUGUAUUUCUCUGUUUUCUUCCCUCUGCUUUGUCCCUAUGUAUUUCUUUUAAAGUACUCAUUUUUUAUGACCAGCAUGUUAAUAAUGUUCUAUUAUUCCUUGGUUAUUUAAUUAUAAAUUAAAAUACAUAACUCACAGGAUUUCUGACCAGAACAAAGCAAGAAAUGAAAAUACAAACGAGAAAGUAACCUAAUUUGGAAAUAACAUUUCCCUGAAGUCAAUUACAUUGUUUUCAUAGGAAACACAACUGGAAGGAGGAAUCUGUCUGUUAAGUUCAUCCAGAAGAAGAAAAGAGGUAGUGGAAUAUAAAAAAGCACUGGCUUUUUAACUGCUAAUGAACACCAGCUUUAUCAUUUCUAGGGAGGAGGAGUUUGCUUUUAGUUUUCCUCUUCCAGUGAAACAUUUUACUGCCUCCUGCCUAGCAAAGGGACUUGGACUUGAACCUGAGACUUGAGACCAUGUAAAUAGCUGGUCUGGAAAUUUCUAGCCGAUUCCAUCCCCUGUCCCUCUCGCAUGGUUACAUGCCCUCCCUUUUCCCUCUGAAUUAUCCUGUCAACAUUCUUGGUCUUGCCAGCGUGGCCACAGCCUGUCCCAAAUGCAUUGAAUGUGUGUAUAUAAACGUGGGAGUGAGGUGGGGCUGGGGCUUUGGGGGAUGGAAGUGAUUACGGGGAAAGGCCAGUUCAGAGAGCUCUGGGCUCCUGACUGCAGUAACCCAGUGAACAGGGCAGGUGUAAUUUCUCAGGCCUGUCUUUAUCAGUCUGUAGACCUGGAUUCCUGGAACAUCCUCCCUCUUGAUCUGCAGAGCAGGGAUGGGUCAGCCUGGGCCUCGCUGCAGUAUGGCCUCAGGGUGUCCAGGCUGAGGCCAAGAUGGGUACUUGCUUGCUGGUAUGGGGUGCAUGGGUAUUCUCCCACCCCCUUCCCAUCAGGAAGGACUGGGGUGAGCCUGGGGGCCUGAAUGGGAGUCCCAGACCCGCUUCUCUUGGGCUGCGUGACCUUGGGCAAGUCUCAUCUUCUCUGGGCCAUCUGUGGAUGGAUGGGUCAGACGGUGGCCACUUGGGGACAGGGAGCCAAGAUGGCGCUGACCACACCGACCUCCUCGCUCCCCUUACCUGCUAUUGUGCACUGAGGACUUAGCGGGAGAUGUGUCCUCCCACCAAGGGCCUCUCCCACCAGAAAAACAAGUUUUUAUAAAGUGAGUGAUUUCUAGGUUCAUGUCCAGCUCUGAAAUCGCCAGGCAGGCCUCGACGCAGCGUCCUCAAUUUGAAGCCCUCUGGUGAUUGGGUUUAUACAUCCUUUCAAAGGUCUGGAACCCUCCUCUGAAGAUGUGUUUUCUGGUGGUGGGUUUAGCAACUCUAUUUUUUCCCCCUUAAUCUAUUUCCUUUUACAAAGAACAAAUGCCCCCAAGUACAAUUUGCACCCAGAUUACUAGACUCUCAACUUAAAACAUUACCAAAAGCUAUAAUUUAGAAAUUCUUUUAUCUAUCCCGAGCUAAUAGCAGUUUUGCAUGUCUUGAUAUUGUUUUCAUAUGCUUCCUUAGCCCCCUCCCCUUCGGUUAUUAUCUCUGGAAUAUGUGCGGGUUUGUUUAAUUUUAGUGCUGAAUUUGGGAUAUGGAAGAGAUUACUCUUAAUUAUAUUAUUUAUUGAAAUGUAAUAUCUUUAUAAGGACCUUCUGUGUUACAGAAGCAGUAUGCUUUUUUGGGAGGACAUUGCAGAAAGUUUGCAGAGGUGAGGAUCUGAAUGAAAUAGGAUCUAAAGCCCCAGGAAGGAUCUAUUCCUCAGCAUCUCCAGACCAAAUUCUCAGAUACUUCCCUCAUCACGAAACACUCACCUUGGCCUAGUAGCCAACCAGUUCAGUACUGUUUUUCUCCAAUUCAAGGAACCCCUUAGGCCUUUUCUAAAACAAUUGCCCAGGGAGAUUAAUGCAUAUUGAAUUGGGUUGAGUUGAUUGGGUAUUUUCCCUCUUGUUGGCCUGGUGAUUGUGAUCCUGUCUCUCAACCUGCACCAGGCAGAACCAGAGCCCACAUGACUUUAUUUAUUUCUUUAGUCUUUUUAGGGCUGCACCUCCAGCAUAUGGAAGUUCCCAGGCUAGGGGUCAAAUCGGAGCUGCAGCAGCCUGCCUACACCACAGCCAUAGUAACGUGGGAUCCGAGCCACGGCUAUGACCUAUGCCACAGCUCAUGGUAACACCAGAUCCUUAACCCACCGAUCAAGGCCAGGGAUUGAACCUUCAUCUUCAUGGAUACCAGUCUGGUUUGUUAACCACUGAACCAUGAUGGGAACUUCCCACAUGACUUUAAAAAAAGAUAUAAUGCUGGUAAAAAAAAAAAUAGAAAGUUAGGAGUUCCUCUUGUGGCUCAGUGUGUUACAAACUCAACUAGCAUCCAUGAGGAUUUGGAUUUGAUCCCUGGCCUUGCUCAGUGGGUUAAGGUUUUGGUAUUGUCAUGAGCUGUGGUGUAGGCCACAGAUGUAUGUGGCUUGGAUCUGGCAUUGCGGUGGUGUAGGCUGGCAGCUGCAGCUCCAAUUCAACCCCUAGCCUGGGAACUUCCAUUUGCUGUAGGUGUGGCCCUAAAAAGAGCAAAAAAAAAAAAAAGAAAAAGAAUAGUAAGCAAAUCCUUGGUCAAACUGUGCCCCCAAUAAGAAAAAAAAAUAUUCCAUCUCAUCAGAUUUCUCACUUUGUCCGUAAAAUGUCCAUAUUUCUUUGUGCCUGCUAGUUGGUCAGGACUUGGAAGUAACCAGCUUUGGGACUAGGGCCCAGACAGUAAAUGCUGUGCUGUUAUGAGAGCAGGACUGGCUCCAUGAUUUGUGGGGCUCACUGCAAAAUGAAAAUGUGAGGCUCUAUGUUGACCAAUUAUUGGGGAUUUCAAGAUGGCAAGGAUAAAGCGCUAAACUAAGCACAAGGCCCUUUGAGGCUUGGUGCCUUGUGACUACACAGAAUCACCCUUUGUGCAGCCGGCCCAGGUUCAGGACUGGGAAGCAUCCAUCACCUCCUCUUCCUUCCUGGGCCCACAUUUGUCUUGGAGAUCUGCAUCCCCUUCUCCCGGCUCAGGGAACUGCUUCCCUCCUUCCACAUUCACUCCACAUUUGAGACUAUCUCUAAGUAACAUGCAUGUGUUGGUACCAAGUAAAUCACAGUGCCAUCGACUCCUCAAAGGCCUGAUGAAAGGCCUCAGAGGAGAGGCAGCCUCAUGGCUCCCAGCAAGGCUGCUCUGCUCCCUCUGAGCUACCCCGUGUGCACAUCCUCAACCUCGCUUCCAACUAUGGAGUUUUCUCUCCCUUUGAAUCUGACAAAAUCCUUUGUAAUUCUCCUUAAAUGUUCCAGGGCUUUUUCCCCUUUUUCAAAUCAUUGUUCUCAAUGCCUGCCAAAUGCUUUAGAUCUUCCCCUCCUUGUCUUUAUUGUAAAUACUUUCCUUACUCGUCAAUAGCAAUAUUAUGGCUAUACAUAGUAGCAAAAAUCUCUACAGCUAUCAGGCUUUCUUUAUCCUUCUGUUCUCAAAGAAUUUGUCUCACUCUAUUAGUGUUUAUGUAAUUCUUCUAAUAGAAUGAUUUUUAAAAACAUUUAUUGAAGUAUCGUUGAUUUACAAUGUUGUAUUAAUUUCUGCUGUACAGCAAAAUUAUUUGGUUUUAUAUAUACACACAUUCUUUUUCAUAUUCUUUUCCAUUAUGGUUUAUCACAGGGUAUGGAAUAUAGUUCCCUGGGCUAUACUGUAGGAGCUUGGUCAUCCAUUUGCUAUAUAAUAGUUUGAAUCUGCUAAUCUCAAACUCUCAUUCCAUCCCUCCCCCUCCCCCUUGGCAACCACAAGUCUGUUCUCUAUGUCUGUGAAUCUGCUUCUAUUUCAUAGAUAAGUUCCUUUGAGUCAUAUUUUAGAUUCCCCAUAUGAGUGAUAUAAUUUGGUAUUUGUUUUUCUCUGUCUGACUUACUUCACUUAGUAUGAUAAUCUCUAGGUCCAUCCAUGUAGCUUCAAAUGGCAUUAUUUCAUUCUUUUUCAUGGCUGAAUAGUAUUCUAUUGUAUAUAUGUACCACAAUAAGAUGAUUUUUUGGAAAAGGAAGCCUGAUACCUAUUCAUAAUCUCUUCUAUAAAGGUUAUCUGCUACUCCCACUGGCAUUAUCUGAUGUCUAGCUAGAACCUUGUUUUACUUUUCUGAUUGAGUGUGCUUCCUUUAUUAAGGUGUUCCAGGGUGGGCCUGUGUGCCUAAUUAAAAGAACAAAUUGGAGUUCCUGUUGUGACUUAGUGGAAAUGAAUCUGACUGGCAUCCAUGAGGAUGUAAGUUGGAUCCCUGGCCUUGCUCAGUGGGUUAAGGAUCCAGCAUUGCUGUGAUCUGUGGUGUAGGUCGCAGACACGGCUCAGAUCCUGUGUUGCUAUGCCUGUGGUGUAAGCUGGCAGCUACAGCUCCAAUUGGACCCCUAGCCUGGGAACCUCCAUACGCAGUGGGUGCAGCCCUAAAAAGAAAAAAAAAAAAA